GUAUUAGAUUUUAAAGGCACAGAAAGCCUAUAACUAACAUUCUAUAACUUGUUAUGGAGUGUAUGUGUAUAACAUAGACCUGAAAUGCAAGAACAGCUGAGUUUUAUACUGCAGUUCUCAAAUCGAGUUUCCUCGAAAAAGUUCAUACCAGGCCUACAGUGUGUGCACAGGUGGUUUUAAAAAAAAAAAUGGAGUGAGCGUGCACAUGCUCCUGAGAGCCAGCAACAACCCAACCAAGUUUAUUCAAUAAUGAUCCUUCCGCAGGUUCACCUACGGAAA
RNAcentral lists this unclassified non-coding RNA (279 nucleotides) under uncultured fungus. RNAcentral's name for it is "sequence contains ITS1". The record is from RNAcentral. Lineage: Eukaryota; Fungi.